RNAcentral lists this ribosomal RNA (271 nucleotides) under uncultured prokaryote. Its description in RNAcentral is "partial 16S ribosomal RNA". It matches the Rfam family "Bacterial small subunit ribosomal RNA", at positions 524 to 794 of the family's 1533-position model. The record is from RNAcentral.
CACGUAGGAGGCAAACGUUAUCCGGAUUUACUGGGCGUAAAGCGCAUGUAGGUGGUUCUGUAAGUAGGGCGUGAAAGCUCCCGGCUCAACUGGGAGAGGCCGUUCUAAACUGCAGAGCUAGAGGAUGGUAGAGGGAGGUGGAAUUCCAGGUGUAGCGGUGGAAUGCGCAGAUAUCUGGAGGAACACCAGUGGCGAAGGCGGCCUCCUGGACCAUUCCUGACACUCAGACGCGAAAGCUAGGGUAGCAAACGGGAUUAGAUACCCGGGUAGU